GAUGAACGCUGGCGGCGUGCCUAAUACAUGCAAGUCGAGCGAACAGAUGAGGAGCUUGCUCCUCUGACGUUAGCGGCGGACGGGUGAGUAACACGUGGAUAACCUACCUAUAAGACUGGGAUAACUUCGGGAAACCGGAGCUAAUACCGGAUAAUAUAUUGAACCGCAUGGUUCAAUAGUGAAAGACGGUUUUGCUGUCACUUAUAGAUGGAUCCGCGCCGCAUUAGCUAGUUGGUAAGGUAACGGCUUACCAAGGCAACGAUGCGUAGCCGACCUGAGAGGGUGGUCGGCCACACUGGAACUGGGACCCGGUCCAGACUCCUACGGGAGGCAGCAAUAGGGAAAUCUUCCGCAAUGGGCGAAAGCCUGACGGAGCAACGCCGCGUGAGUGAUGAAGGUCUUCGGAUCGUAAAACUCUGUUAUUAGGGAAGAACAAAUGUGUAAGUAACUAUGCACGUCUUGACGGUACCUAAUCAGAAAGCCACGGCUAACUACGUG
RNAcentral lists this ribosomal RNA (498 nucleotides) under uncultured bacterium. RNAcentral describes it as "partial 16S ribosomal RNA". It matches the Rfam family "Bacterial small subunit ribosomal RNA", at positions 28 to 507 of the family's 1533-position model. The record is from RNAcentral.